AUUGAACGCUGGCGGCAUGAUUUACACAUGCAAGUCGAACGGUAACAGGCCGCAAGGUGCUGACGAGUGGCGAACGGGUGAGUAAUGCAUCGGAACGUGCCCAGUCGUGGGGGAUAACUACUCGAAAGAGUGGCUAAUACCGCAUACGAUCUAUGGAUGAAAGCGGGGGACCGUAAGGCCUCGCGCGAUUGGAGCGGCCGAUGUCAGAUUAGGUAGUUGGUGGGGUAAAGGCUCACCAAGCCAACGAUCUGUAGCUGGUCUGAGAGGACGACCAGCCACACUGGGACUGAGACACGGCCCAGACUCCUACGGGAGGCAGCAGUGGGGAAUUUUGGACAAUGGGCGCAAGCCUGAUCCAGCAAUGCCGCGUGCAGGAAGAAGGCCUUCGGGUUGUAAACUGCUUUUGUACGGAACGCAACGGCUCUGGUUAAUACCCGGGGCUAAUGACGGUACCGUAAGAAUAAGCACCGGCUAACUACGUG
Molecule: ribosomal RNA, 482 nt
Filed under: uncultured bacterium
Lineage: Bacteria
Description: partial 16S ribosomal RNA
Rfam family: Bacterial small subunit ribosomal RNA
Source: RNAcentral